This 431-nucleotide ribosomal RNA is filed under the name uncultured bacterium. RNAcentral describes it as "partial 16S ribosomal RNA". It matches the Rfam family "Bacterial small subunit ribosomal RNA", at positions 29 to 507 of the family's 1533-position model. The record is from RNAcentral.
AACGAACGCUGGCGGCAGGCUUAACACAUGCAAGUCGAACGCCCCGCAAGGGGAGUGGCAGACGGGUGAGUAACGCGUGGGAACAUACCCUUUUCUACGGAAUAGCUCUGGGAAACUGGAAUUAAUACCGUAUACGCCCUACGGGGGAAAGAUUUAUCGGGGAAGGAUUGGCCCGCGUUGGAUUAGCUAGUUGGUGGGGUAAAGGCCUACCAAGGCGACGAUCCAUAGCUGGUCUGAGAGGAUGAUCAGCCACAUUGGGACUGGGACACGGCCCAAACUCCUACGGGAGGCAGCAGUGGGGAAUAUUGGACAAUGGGCGCAAGCCUGAUCCAGCCAUGCCGCGUGAGUGAUGAAGGCCUUAGGGUUGUAAAGCUCUUUCACCGAUGAAGAUAAUGACGGUAGUCGGAGAAGAAGCCCCGGCUAACUUCGUG